CGCAUCCAAAAAAAAAAAAAACACAGAGCCGCGAAAUGCCGAGACAGAGAUAGCAAUUGGAUUUUGAGGGUCCUUCACCAUUCUCUUUGAUUUUCGGGUUGUGGCCUACUUCCUCUCAAAAGAGAUGAAGUGGAAUACUCUAAUUUCAUCACAGCAAAGACCCCAGCUUCUUUUCCAAUUUCCUCCUUUAGUAACCCACGGAUUAUUUUCUGCUUU
Long non-coding RNA from Quercus lobata, 216 nucleotides. RefSeq lists it as uncharacterized. The record is from RefSeq and is a predicted model, not a curated record. NCBI's taxonomy places the organism in Eukaryota, Viridiplantae, Streptophyta, Magnoliopsida, Fagales, Fagaceae. The transcript has 3 exons.